RNAcentral lists this ribosomal RNA (492 nucleotides) under uncultured bacterium. Its description in RNAcentral is "partial 16S ribosomal RNA". It matches the Rfam family "Bacterial small subunit ribosomal RNA", at positions 29 to 507 of the family's 1533-position model. The record is from RNAcentral.
AGUGAACGCUGGCGGUAGGCCUAACACAUGCAAGUCGAACGGCAGCACAGUAAGAGCUUGCUCUUACGGGUGGCGAGUGGCGGACGGGUGAGGAAUACAUCGGAAUCUACUUUUUCGUGGGGGAUAACGUAGGGAAACUUACGCUAAUACCGCAUACGACCUACGGGUGAAAGCAGGGGAUCUUCGGACCUUGCGCGAUUGAAUGAGCCGAUGUCGGAUUAGCUAGUUGGCGGGGUAAAGGCCCACCAAGGCGACGAUCCGUAGCUGGUCUGAGAGGAUGAUCAGCCCCACUGGAACUGAGACACGGUCCAGACUCCUACGGGAGGCCGCCGUGGGGAAUAUUCGACAAUGGGCGCAAGCCUGAUCCAGCCAUACCGCGUGGGUGAAGAAGGCCUUCGGGUUGUAAAGCCCUUUUGUUGGGAAAGAAAAGCAGCAGGUUAAUACCCCGCUGUUCUGACGGUACCCAAAGAAUAAGCACCGGCUAACUUCGUG